This 550-nucleotide ribosomal RNA is filed under the name uncultured bacterium. RNAcentral's name for it is "bacterial SSU rRNA". It matches the Rfam family "Bacterial small subunit ribosomal RNA", at positions 355 to 896 of the family's 1533-position model. The record is from RNAcentral.
UAGGGAAUCUUCGGCAAUGGACGGAAGUCUGACCGAGCAACGCCGCGUGAGUGAAGAAGGUUUUCGGAUCGUAAAGCUCUGUUGUUAGAGAAGAACGUUGGUAGGAGUGGAAAAUCUACCAAGUGACGGUAACUAACCAGAAAGGGACGGCUAACUACGUGCCAGCAGCCGCGGUAAUACGUAGGUCCCGAGCGUUGUCCGGAUUUAUUGGGCGUAAAGCGAGCGCAGGCGGUUCUUUAAGUCUGAAGUUAAAGGCAGUGGCUUAACCAUUGUACGCUUUGGAAACUGGAGGACUUGAGUGCAGAAGGGGAGAGUGGAAUUCCAUGUGUAGCGGUGAAAUGCGUAGAUAUAUGGAGGAACACCGGUGGCGAAAGCGGCUCUCUGGUCUGUAACUGACGCUGAGGCUCGAAAGCGUGGGGAGCAAACAGGAUUAGAUACCCUGGUAGUCCACGCCGUAAACGAUGAGUGCUAGGUGUUAGGCCCUUUCCGGGGCUUAGUGCCGUAGCUAACGCAUUAAGCACUCCGCCUGGGGAGUACGACCGCAAGGUUG